AGAGUUUGAUCAUGGCUCAGAACGUACGCUGGCGGCACGCCUAACACAUGCAAGUCGAACGAAGUAGCAAUACUUAGUGGCAGACGGGUGAGUAACAUGUAGGUAUCUGCCCUUUGGCCUGGAAUAACACGAGGAAACUUGUGCUAAUACCGGAUAAGUCUUUACGGAGAAAGCUUUAUGCACCAUUGGAUGAGCCUGCACUUGAUUAGUUUGUUGGUGGGGUAAUGGCCUACCAAGACUGUGAUCAAUAGCUGAUUUGAGAGGAUGAUCAGCCACAUUGGGACUGAGACACGGCCCAAACUCCUACGGGAGGCAGCAGUGGGGAAUCUUGCACAAUGGAGGAAACUCUGAUGCAGCGAUGCCGCGUGAGUGAAGAAGGCCCUUGGNUUGUAAAGCUCUUUCGUCGGGGAAGAAAAUGACU
This 421-nucleotide ribosomal RNA is filed under the name uncultured bacterium. Its description in RNAcentral is "bacterial SSU rRNA". It matches the Rfam family "Bacterial small subunit ribosomal RNA", at positions 8 to 456 of the family's 1533-position model. The record is from RNAcentral.